AAGCAGGUUAAUAUUCCUGCACCAUUGUUAAAUGCGAUGGGGGGACGGAUCGCGGAAGGUUGUCCGGGUGUUGGAAGUCCCGGUCCUUGCAUUGGAGAAGGCGCUUAGGCAAAUCCGGGCGCGGAAUUCAAGGGUGCGAGGCCAGUCGCUUAGGCGACGAAGCAAUCGGAAGUGGUUCCAAGAAAAGCCUCUAAGCUUCAGUUUAACAGGACCGUACCGCAAACCGACACAGGUGGGCGAGAUGAGUAUUCUAAGGCGCUUGAGAGAACUCGGGAGAAGGAACUCGGCAAAUUUGAACCGUAACUUCGGGAUAAGGUUCGCCUACGCAAGUAGGCCGCAGUGAAGAGGGGGUUGCGACUGUUUAUCAAAAACACAGCACUCUGCAAACACGAAAGUGGACGUAUAGGGU
RNAcentral lists this ribosomal RNA (409 nucleotides) under Anophryoides haemophila. RNAcentral describes it as "partial Bacterial large subunit ribosomal RNA". It matches the Rfam family "Bacterial large subunit ribosomal RNA", at positions 1422 to 1851 of the family's 2925-position model. Lineage: Eukaryota; Ciliophora; Oligohymenophorea; Philasterida; Glauconematidae. The record is from RNAcentral.